Sciurus carolinensis (gray squirrel) is the source of this 474-nucleotide non-coding RNA. NCBI's taxonomy places the organism in Eukaryota, Metazoa, Chordata, Mammalia, Rodentia, Sciuridae. The record is from the annotation of a RefSeq genome assembly.
UCUGAACUCACAUGCAUCCUCUCACUGUGACCUGAAUCUUUCCUUACCCUGUAAAGUCAAAGUCAAGAUCCAAGGACUGCAGAGACUCUGAAAAUGGACUGUGCUCUAGGACCAGUGAUUGUACUAGUCUUCAUGUUUGGAGGAAGCAAUGGAGACUCAGUGACCCAGACACAAGGUCAAAUGACCCUCCCUGAAGGGACUUCCCUGACGGUGAACUGUUCCUAUGAAACCUCACAGUACCCUGCCCUUUUCUGGUAUGUUCAAUACCCUGGAGAAGGUCCACAGCUCCUCCUGAAAGUCAUUAAGCAAAAUGAAAAAGGCAGCAACAAAGGUUUUGAAGCCACAUACAAGAAAGAAAGCUCCUCUUUCCACUUGGAGAAAGCCUCUGUCCAAGAAUCAGACUCGGCUGUGUACUACUGUGCUCUGGGUGACACAGUGGCAGAAACUGCAGGGGGAGCUGAGCACAAACUCUAA